AUUGAACGCUGGCGGCAGGCCUAACACAUGCAAGUCGAGCGGAUGAAGGGAGCUUGCUCCUGGAUUCAGCGGCGGACGGGUGAGUAAUGCCUAGGAAUCUGCCUGGUAGUGGGGGAUAACGUCCGGAAACGGGCGCUAAUACCGCAUACGUCCUGAGGGAGCAAGUGGGGGAUCUUCGGACCUCACGCUAUCAGAUGAGCCUAGGUCGGAUUAGCUAGUUGGUGGGGUAAAGGCCUGCCAAGGCGACGAUCCGUAACUGGUCUGAGAGGAUGAUCAGUCACACUGGAACUGAGACACGGUCCAGACUCCUACGGGAGGCAGCAGUGGGGAAUAUUGGACAAUGGGCGAAAGCCUGAUCCAGCCAUGCCGAGUGUGUGAAGAAGGUCUUCGGAUUGUAAAGCACUUUAAGUUGGGAGGAAGGGCAGUAAGUUAAUACCUUGCUGUUUUGACGUUACCAACAGAAUAAGCACCGGCUAACUUCGUG
RNAcentral lists this ribosomal RNA (484 nucleotides) under uncultured bacterium. RNAcentral's name for it is "partial 16S ribosomal RNA". It matches the Rfam family "Bacterial small subunit ribosomal RNA", at positions 30 to 507 of the family's 1533-position model. The record is from RNAcentral.